AGGGUAAACGCUGGCGGCGUGCCUAAAACAUGCAAGUCGAACGCAUCGUCUUCGGAUGGUGAGUGGCAGACGGCUGAGUAACACGUGGGUGACCGACCCCUUGGUGGGGAAUAACUGCCCGAAAGGGUGGCUAAGACCGCAUACGUCCCGGACCGUGGGGUCUGGGGGAAAGCGUCGCAAGAGGCGCCGAGGGACGGGCCCGCGUCCGAUUAGCUUGUUGGUGGGGUAACGGCCUACCAAGGCGACGAUCGGUAGCUGGUCUCAGAGGAUGAUCAGCCAGACUGGGACUGAGACACGGCCCAGACUCCUACGGGAGGCAGCAGUUAGGAAUUUUGCACAAUGGGCGCAAGCCUGAUGCAGCAACGCCGCGUGAGGGACGACGGCCUUCGGGUUGUAACCGUCUUUAGUAGGGUAAGAAGCGAAAGUGACGGUACCUGCAGAAAAGCACCGGCUAACUACGUGCCAGCAGCCGC
This 473-nucleotide ribosomal RNA is filed under the name uncultured bacterium. Its description in RNAcentral is "SSU rRNA". It matches the Rfam family "Bacterial small subunit ribosomal RNA", at positions 26 to 518 of the family's 1533-position model. The record is from RNAcentral.